AGGUGAUAUAAAAAGUUUUUAACUGUUCGAUAUUCUAUAUAUCUUCCAGACAACUGAAAUGUUGAAAACAUCACAAAACAAGAUGUUUGCAGCUUUGAAGUAUCACUCAACAGACUAUUUAUAUGAGAGCAUGGCCAGACAGAAGUUUUCCAUCUGGAAGUUAUCACUUUGCUUUCCUCCCUGCUUACAUCAAGAUGAAAAGUAUCAUCUCAAUGGACUCUUUGCUGAUGAUAAGUAUAGGAAGCCAUGGACUAGAAUUGGUUCAACACGGAACAUGAUUGCUAUUUCAGUAUUGGAUCAAUGGAAGAAAAGUUUGCCUGUGGAGGAUUUCCUGGAAAAGUCAGUAACUUUAAGUUAAACACAUUUAUGAUUUCUUUGAUAUCAUUCAGGU
RNAcentral lists this long non-coding RNA (391 nucleotides) under Corvus moneduloides (New Caledonian crow). RNAcentral describes it as "lncRNA (ENSCMUG00000018036.1)". Lineage: Eukaryota; Metazoa; Chordata; Aves; Passeriformes; Corvidae. The record is from RNAcentral.